UGGGGAAUAUUGCACAAUGGGCGCAAGCCUGAUGCAGCGACGCCGCGUGGGGGAUGACGGCCUUCGGGUUGUAAACUCCUUUCGCAUGGGACGAAGCUUUUUGUGACGGUACCGUGAGAAGAAGCACCGGCUAACUACGUGCCAGCAGCCGCGGUAAUACGUAGGGUGCGAGCGUUGUCCGGAUUUACUGGGCGUAAAGAGCUCGUAGGUGGUUUGUCGCGUCGUCUGUGAAAUUCCGGGGCUUAACUCCGGGCGUGCAGGCGAUACGGGCAUAACUUGAGUACUGUAGGGGUAACUGGAAUUCCUGGUGUAGCGGUGGAAUGCGCAGAUAUCAGGAGGAACACCGAUGGCGAAGGCAGGUUACUGGGCAGUUACUGACGCUGAGGAGCGAAAGCAUGGGUAGCGAACAGG
This 411-nucleotide ribosomal RNA is filed under the name uncultured Corynebacterium sp. RNAcentral's name for it is "bacterial SSU rRNA". It matches the Rfam family "Bacterial small subunit ribosomal RNA", at positions 355 to 776 of the family's 1533-position model. Lineage: Bacteria; Bacillati; Actinomycetota; Actinomycetes; Mycobacteriales; Corynebacteriaceae. The record is from RNAcentral.